ACGUAGGUGGCAAGCGUUGUCCGGAUUUACUGGGCGUAAAGAGCGCGCAGGCGGUCGUAUAAGUCGAAUGUGAAAGCCCCUGGCUCAACUAGGGAGAGUCAUUCGAUACUGUUCGACUCGAAGGCAGGAGAGGGAAGUGGAAUUCCGGGUGUAGUGGUGAAAUGCGUAGAUAUCCGGAGGAACACCAGUGGCGAAGGCGACUUUCUGGCCUGUUCUUGACGCUGAGGCGCGAAAGCUAGGGGAGCAAACGGGAUUAGAUACCCCGGUAGUCCUAGCCGUAAACGAUGGACACUAGGUGUUGGUGGUAUCAACCCCGCCAGUGCCGUAGCUAACGCAUUAAGUGUCCCGCCUGGGGAGUACGGCCGCAAGGCUA
This 373-nucleotide ribosomal RNA is filed under the name uncultured bacterium. Its description in RNAcentral is "bacterial SSU rRNA". It matches the Rfam family "Bacterial small subunit ribosomal RNA", at positions 525 to 896 of the family's 1533-position model. The record is from RNAcentral.